AUACGGAGGGUGCAAGCGUUAAUCGGAAUUACUGGGCGUAAAGCGCGCGUAGGCGGAUUGUUAAGUCUCAUGUGAAAGCCCUGGGCUCAACCUGGGAACUGCAUGGGAUACUGGCAAUCUAGAAUACAGUAGAGGGUAGUGGAAUUUCAGGUGUAGCGGUGAAAUGCGUAGAGAUCUGAAGGAACAUCAGUGGCGAAGGCGACUACCUGGACUGAUAUUGACGCUGAGGUGCGAAAGCGUGGGGAGCAAACGGGAUUAGAAACCCGAGUAGUCC
RNAcentral lists this ribosomal RNA (274 nucleotides) under uncultured bacterium. RNAcentral's name for it is "partial 16S ribosomal RNA". It matches the Rfam family "Bacterial small subunit ribosomal RNA", at positions 523 to 796 of the family's 1533-position model. The record is from RNAcentral.